UAACACUGCUCAUUACUCCAUCCCAUCCCUGCAGCGGGGAACCACCCUUGACUGUGGGGGUGGGAAGCGGGGGUUGGGUUCUCACUUUCACCAGUUCUUGGGCAAGGGCUUUGCAGCAGAUACUUUGUACCUGUUAGCUACAAAGUGCUCUGCAGAGGAUCUUUCUGCUACGUUUUGGAGGCUCUCCUGCCCGGGAGCUACAUCUGCUACCUCUCCCAAUCAAGGGGCCCAGAGAUGGGAUUCUUAAUCUCUGGGAACCCACCCUAAGGCCUGCCAGUGCUGGUGGCAAUUAUGUCUUUAUCAGCAAGAUAAAGGUUGCUUGGUCACCGCCAGGGAGGGGGCUCUGGAGUGGGGGAGAGGCUCUGCUAGGGAUCAGAGCGGGCAACCUGACCUCUCCGUGAAGGAAAUACCAAUUAAUUAUCUUUUUUACAGGCAAACCAAUUAGACUCCCUAAUCACCUGUGUAGGACACGGAGUCAGGAGGCUGAGAAACUGCAGGAAUAAACAGGACUGAGAGGACAGGCCUCACCGUGAAACAGCUGCCCUGGGCCCGGGACUCGCCAGGAGGAGCGCAAACCGGAGGGCUGUCAAGGCAGGGGCUCCCUGGAGCUACUCUGCUGUCCUGACUCUAACCACCAUGGUCCUCGAAGAGCCUCCUCCAAUCUCCAACUCAGACCACUCCAUGGAGUGAGCCUUCUUCAUGCCACUUAAGCUCCGUCUUUCAUGCUCACAUGGGCCCCAGGUUCCCAAAGCUAAUCUGCAAGGGAUUGUCUGAGCCACAGGGCCCAGAGCCCACCUCAUCCAUUCUGCAGUCAGCAGCCGGCACCCACAGCGUCCACGCGCAAUCACCCGCACCUGCCUCAUGAGUCAAUGGGCCCAAAUUGCGGGGCGCGGCAGACGCCCCACCGAGAACAAGGAACACAAAGGGCUCUGCGCUUCAAGCUGUGGGUGGGAAUUACAAAAGGUUAAGAGACUAAAUAUAAAAAGCCCUUUGAAUAUAAAAUCAAUGUGCUUUGUUGCUAAAAUCUGGGUGCUGUAAUUUAUCCAAAAUAGGACUUGCAAUAUCUGGCAAUAAUCCAUGCCUAGGAAUUGUCGGUUCUGCUCAUCGAAAUGCAAAUAGUCUACUGGAAACUUAAAAACAAUUAAAACAACUGAAAUAUUUCAUACCAACA
Molecule: small RNA, 1171 nt
Filed under: Rattus norvegicus (Norway rat)
Lineage: Eukaryota; Metazoa; Chordata; Mammalia; Rodentia; Muridae
Description: uncharacterized LOC108351067
Source: RNAcentral